Molecule: ribosomal RNA, 486 nt
Filed under: uncultured bacterium
Lineage: Bacteria
Description: partial 16S ribosomal RNA
Rfam family: Bacterial small subunit ribosomal RNA
Source: RNAcentral
AUUGAACGCUGGCGGCAUGCCUUACACAUGCAAGUCGAACGGCAGCACGGGUGCUUGCACCUGGUGGCGAGUGGCGAACGGGUGAGUAAUACAUCGGAACAUGUCCUGUAGUGGGGGAUAGCCCGGCGAAAGCCGGAUUAAUACCGCAUACGAUCUACGGAUGAAAGCGGGGGACCUUCGGGCCUCGCGCUAUAGGGUUGGCCGAUGGCUGAUUGGCUAGUUUGGGGGGUAAAGGCCUACCCAGGCGGCGAUCAGUAGCUGGUGUGUGAGGGGGACAGGCGACACGGGGGGUGGAACGGGGCCAAGAGGCCUAAGGGAGGGAGCAGUGGGGAAUUUGGGACAGUGGGCGAAAGCCUUAUCCAACAGUGCGGCGUGUGAGAAGAAGGCGUUGGGGUUGUAAAGCACUUUUGUCCGGAAAGAAAUCCUUGGCCCUAUGACGGUGGGGGGAUGACGGUACCGGAAGAAUAAGCACCGGCUAACUACGUG